Molecule: small RNA, 715 nt
Filed under: Pongo abelii (Sumatran orangutan)
Lineage: Eukaryota; Metazoa; Chordata; Mammalia; Primates; Hominidae
Description: retained intron
Source: RNAcentral
UUUUUUUUUUUUUUUUUUGAGAUACAGUCUUGCUGUGUCACCUAGGCUGGAGUGCAGUGGUGCUAUCUCGGCUCACUUCAGCUUCAACUUCCCAGGCUCUAGCCAUCCUCCCUCCUCAGCCUCCCAAGUAGCUGAGACUGUAGUCCUGUGCCACCAUGCCCAGCUAAUGUUUGUAUUUUGUGUAGAGACCGGGUUUUGCCGUGUUGCCUAGGCUGGUCUGGAACUCCUCAGCUCAAGUGCUCCACCAACCCUCAGCCUCCCAAAAUACUGGGAUUACAGACGAGUGCUGAAAUUAUUCUUAGUUUUUUAGGUUAACUCAUUUGACAUAAGAAGUACGAAUAGAUAGCCAGAGAGCAAACAAAGAUAGCUAGAGCAAUCAUGUGAAAUGGCAACUGUGUGGAUGUUGAAAUAUUGAUCAUUAUUUCUUUGGUUGUUUAUGGUAGAGAAAGGCAUUUGAAGAAGAAAGAGCCAGUUGGUUAAAGCAGCAGUUUUUAAAUAUGACUACCUUUGACCACCAGAACUCAGAAAAUGUGAAACUUUUCAGUGCCUUCUCAGGAAGUUCUGAUCGGGACAAUCUUAUAGUGCACUCGAGGCAACCACAAAAGAAGCCUUACAGUGUGUCUAAUGGGUCUCCAGUUUGCAUGUCUAAACUUACUAAAUCUCUUCCUGCUUCACCUUCCACUUCAGACUUUUGCCAGACACGUUCCUGCAUAUC